This 568-nucleotide ribosomal RNA is filed under the name Bacillus infantis. Its description in RNAcentral is "bacterial SSU rRNA". It matches the Rfam family "Bacterial small subunit ribosomal RNA", at positions 21 to 572 of the family's 1533-position model. Lineage: Bacteria; Bacillati; Bacillota; Bacilli; Caryophanales; Bacillaceae. The record is from RNAcentral.
GGCUCAGGACGAACGCUGGCGGCGUGCCUAAUACAUGCAAGUCGAGCGGACGGAUGGGAGCUUGCUCCCUGAAGUCAGCGGCGGACGGGUGAGUAACACGUGGGCAACCUGCCUGUAAGACUGGGAUAACUUCGGGAAACCGGAGCUAAUACCGGAUAAUGCACAGCCUCUCAUGAGGCUAUGCUGAAAGAUGGUUUCGGCUAUCACUUACAGAUGGGCCCGCGGCGCAUUAGCUAGUUGGUGAGGUAACGGCUCACCAAGGCAACGAUGCGUAGCCGACCUGAGAGGGUGAUCGGCCACACUGGGACUGAGACACGGCCCAGACUCCUACGGGAGGCAGCAGUAGGGAAUCUUCCGCAAUGGACGAAAGUCUGACGGAGCAACGCCGCGUGAGUGAUGAAGGUUUUCGGAUCGUAAAACUCUGUUGUCAGGGAAGAACAAGUGCCGGAGUAACUGCCGGCACCUUGACGGUACCUGACCAGAAAGCCACGGCUAACUACGUGCCAGCAGCCGCGGUAAUACGUAGGUGGCAAGCGUUGUCCGGAAUUAUUGGGCGUAAAGCGCGCGC